UACUUCUCUACCGAAGGAGGUGUAAGGUGCUCCUUCCCUUCCCUAGCCAGCAGGUCACCCUUCAGCAAGGUUUAGCCCCCCCAAUCAGGGUCACGUGAAACCGUGGGAGCAGGUGGUGGAUGGGCAUACGAGCAGAUGGUGCAUAUCACAAGCCCUGGCUAUGCCACCACUGACACCAGACAGACAAUCUCUGAAGAGCAUUGAAAAUGGCUCCCCUUGUAAGACACUGACCAGAAGAAGGCAAUGGCAAGCCAUUUCUGUAGAAAUAUUUGCCAAGAGCAAUCACGGUCAAGAGCAUGAUUGCCAACGUUAUACGAUGUGGUACAUAAUGAACGAAUGAACACCAAUCACUUCCUCCCUAUUCCUCAUGCGGACCGACCGACCUCGGGGUGAAAAGGUUGCCCUCAAGUUUUUAUUAUGUGCUGGGUGCUGUGAAUAUACUGAAGGCCAAUGCAAUAGAGGCAUGUAAGAGGCUCUUAAACUGGCAAACUGUGACCCUGUGGGUUUCCUCCCACAGUCCAAAGACAUACCGGUUGGUAGAUUAAAUGGUCAUCGUAAAUUGUCCUGUGAUUAGGCUAGGCUUGGGAGUUUUUGGGCAGCACAACUUGAAGGGCAAGAAGGGCCUAUUCCAUGCUGUAUCUCAAUUUUUUAAAAAUAUGUGCAGUAAAUGAAAGGAGAAGAGCACUGUAGGCAGAAGGGGUUAGGAUAGUUGGGCAUUUGAUUCAUAGUGGAAUUAUUUCAGUAUAGUGUUGUGGGUCACAGGGCCUUUUCCUGCACUGCGCAAAAUAAAAGGCUCUCAUUGGCUGUGGACCACAUGGCACUGUGCAGCAGUAACAAAUCAGAAUCAGGUUUGUUAUCACUGACUGAUAUGACAUAAGAUCUGGUGUUUUGUAGCAGCAGGACAGUGCAAAGAUAUAAAAUCACUAUUAAUUUCAAAAUAAAUAAAUAGUGCAAAAUAAAAGGAAUAGCAAUGUAGUGUUCAGAGACCAAUCAGAAACCUGAUGGCAGAGAGGGUGAGGUUGCUUCUGAAUCAUUGGGUGGCCUCCAUCCUUCCUCCCUAAUGGCAGUAAGAGGACAUGUCCCAGAAGAUGAGGGUCCUCGUUGAUGAAUGCUGCCUUCUUGAGCACCACCUCCUGAAGAUGGACGUGAAGGUGGGGAGGGUUGUGCCCACGACGGAACAGGCUGAGUCUACAGCCCUCUGAGGCCUUAUGUGAGCCUAUGCAUGGGAGCCUCGACACCAGACUGUGACGCAACCAGUCAGCAUGCUCCCCACUGUGGAUCUAACAGAACUUGUAUUGCUAGCAUCUGCAUCCUUUUUGAUGCCCAUUUAGUAAGAAGUUUUAAGUGGACACUGGACCAUUGCCGAUCAAUUCUGUGCAACCAAUGCUGCUCUAUUUUACGUUGUGCUCCAGCUUCCUCCCACAUUCCAAAGUAUUUUUCGGGGCUGUGAGUUGUCGACACACCAUCUUGGUGGUGGAGGCCUGGCGAUACUGGGAGGGCUGCCUCAGACUGCAUUGGUCGGAGCCCAAAAACGAUGCGUUUCACUGGAUGUUUCGAAGUAUGUGUGACAAAUAAAAUUUAA
This is a long non-coding RNA of Hypanus sabinus (Atlantic stingray), 1582 nucleotides long. RefSeq lists it as uncharacterized. The transcript has 3 exons. The record is from RefSeq and is a predicted model, not a curated record. Lineage: Eukaryota; Metazoa; Chordata; Chondrichthyes; Myliobatiformes; Dasyatidae.